UACGUAGGGGGCAAGCGUUGUCCGGAUUUAUUGGGCGUAAAGAGCGUGUAGGCGGCCAGACAAGUCUGCUGUGAAAACUCGAGGCUCAACCUCGAGCUGUCGGUGGAAACUGUCUGGCUAGAGUCCGGAAGAGGAGAGUGGAAUUCCUGGUGUAGCGGUGAAAUGCGCAGAUAUCAGGAAGAACACCCGUGGCUAAGGCGGCUCUCUAGUACGGUACUGACGCUGAGACGCGAAAGCGUGGGGAGCGAACAGG
This 253-nucleotide ribosomal RNA is filed under the name uncultured bacterium. RNAcentral describes it as "partial 16S ribosomal RNA". It matches the Rfam family "Bacterial small subunit ribosomal RNA", at positions 524 to 776 of the family's 1533-position model. The record is from RNAcentral.